UUCAAAGCGAACAGGUGAAAAUAAUGAAGCUCUGCGAACUUUUCAGCUACUGUCUACCGAUCCAAAAGAAGAAGCACAGGAAUGAGAGGGUUGACACCAGCAAGAAGAAGAAAAGAAAGGAGGCUAAGCACCUCAAGAAGGAGAUGGCAGACAGGAGGAGAAAGGAGGCCCUUGAGAUGGACAUCUCCAAGGUGUAGAGUGUGGAGACUGUAGUAGUGUCUCUGGAGGAGGUGAAGGAUAGGCCUGCAGAGAGACUUGAGGGUGAGCAUACAGUGAUCGCUAUCCACCAUGCUGAGAUGGCUAAUGCUAGGCUUGUGUCUCGCCCAAGAGCUGAGAAAGAGAGCAUCAGUGAGCCUGAUCAAGAGACCAGCAAAGAGGGCUGCACCCUGAUUGAAUCAUCUGUUGACCAAGGGAUACCUCAGCUGGACGAGGGGGGUGGUAGGAGCCCAUCUCCACUGAAGGUUGAUGGAGAUGGUGAUUGAGACUUCAGCAAAGAGGACUGCACCCUGAAUGAGUCAUCUAUUGACCAUGGGACACAUCAGCUGGACGAGGGAGGCGGUAAGACCUCAUCCCUGUUCCAUGCUAAGGGAGACGGAGCGUGACCUGUGCCUCAGUUGAAACUGGACUGGCACAGACACCAGCCUACAAUUGGGAAGCCCACACCACAGGCCGGUGCGUGGCAUACGCCUCACACCCCUGAGAAGAGUGACGUGAUGGAGGAAGAGAGGAGGAAAAUUCUGCAUGGAUCUUUUGAGAGGAGGGGCAUUACUACCCAGAAUACAACCACACAGGCCACACUGACCACUGAGGAAGACAAUCCCACACCACAGCCUGCUGUGUGGCACACAAAUAAAAUCCCUGAAGAGAGAGAUGAAGAUAGGAGGAAAAUUCUGCACGGAUUUGUCAAGAGAAGGGGCCUUACUACAUGUAGGCCAAA
This is a long non-coding RNA of Alosa sapidissima (American shad), 937 nucleotides long. RefSeq lists it as uncharacterized. The record is from RefSeq and is a predicted model, not a curated record. The transcript is spliced from 3 exons. NCBI's taxonomy places the organism in Eukaryota, Metazoa, Chordata, Actinopteri, Clupeiformes, Clupeidae.